AUCGCAAAGCAUGCCGGGACAUAAUUCUAGUACAUUUUUACCUUCGCCGUGAUCAGCUGUCCCGUUGCAAACAACGGGAUUCUUAUCGAAGCAACAUCUUAAUCUUGUACAAAAUCCGCUAUUAUGCAGUGAUUUUCUUUCACUCCAGUAUCAUUUGUACGUUGCAGCAUCAUCAAACACUAUGGCCGAUGAAUCAGAAGAUGACGUAGAUGCUACGAGAGAGCUCAUUUCACAAUGGACAACAGAAGUGAUACGUGACUUUCUACAAGGAGGGGACUCAAGCUUGGAAAUUGAGGAGUCAUUAUUUUAUGGGUGUUCUCUGCCCUGACGCUGGGGGUACUGUUCAGCCAUCCGAGGUAGAGAGGUAGAGAGGAACUGGACGAUGGAUGGAUGGGGGGGGGGGGGGGGGGGGG
This is a long non-coding RNA of Strongylocentrotus purpuratus (purple sea urchin), 413 nucleotides long. RefSeq lists it as uncharacterized. The transcript has 2 exons. Lineage: Eukaryota; Metazoa; Echinodermata; Echinoidea; Camarodonta; Strongylocentrotidae. The record is from RefSeq and is a predicted model, not a curated record.